This 468-nucleotide ribosomal RNA is filed under the name uncultured bacterium. RNAcentral's name for it is "partial 16S ribosomal RNA". It matches the Rfam family "Bacterial small subunit ribosomal RNA", at positions 28 to 507 of the family's 1533-position model. The record is from RNAcentral.
GACGAACGCUGGCGGCGUGCUUAACACAUGCCAGUCGAACGGAAAGGCCCUGCUUUUGUGGGGUGCUCGAGUGGCGAACGGGUGAGUAACACGUGAGUAACCUGCCCUUGACUUUGGGAUAACUUCAGGAAACUGGGGCUAAUACCGGAUAGGAGCUCCUGCUGCAUGGUGGGGGUUGGAAAGUUUUGGCGGUUGGGGAUGGACUCGCGGCUUAUCAGCUUGUUGGUGGGGUAGUGGCUUACCAAGGCUUUGACGGGUAGCCGGCCUGAGAGGGUGACCGGCCACAUUGGGACUGAGAUACGGCCCAGACUCCUACGGGAGGCAGCAGUGGGGAAUAUUGCACAAUGGGCGGAAGCCUGAUGCAGCAACGCCGCGUGCGGGAUGACGGCCUUCGGGUUGUAAACCGCUUUCGCCUGUGACGAAGCGUGAGUGACGGUAAUGGGUAAAGAAGCACCGGCUAACUACGUG